Molecule: long non-coding RNA, 3429 nt
Filed under: Schizosaccharomyces pombe (fission yeast)
Lineage: Eukaryota; Fungi; Ascomycota; Schizosaccharomycetes; Schizosaccharomycetales; Schizosaccharomycetaceae
Description: cis-acting regulatory lncRNA prt2, pho84 repressing
Source: RNAcentral
AAUUUUAAUUUAAACGCAUUGGUAGUAUGAAAUAGAACGAAAUAAGUCAUAGAGGAUGAGAUAGAAUUAAUUCAUAACAAAUUAAACUAUGAAAAUCGUUAGAAAUUGAAAUUUAUUAAUAUCGACAUCUGUCCUUAUAAUAAUUAAUUAGUUUCCACGGUCUUUUCUUGAAAAUUAUUCUGCGUUUUGUCGAACUAGAAUAAUGCACGAAAGAUUAACUCAUCGUUGCUUUUAAUUAGAUAGCAAGAAUGUAAAACAAUGGAAUUUGCUACUCGACACGAAAAUUCAAAAAUUUUCGAAUACUAUCAAAUCAUCUUAUAUCCAUUACACUUGUUGAAGGGUGGCGGGCGGUAAAAUCCUCGUAUCCGUUCAUCUUUUUGCUUCGGCAGUAUAUGCUGCCUAAUAAAUUUUAGCGUUCGGUAAACUGAGGUUCCUAAAAUAAACUACGGUUUACGUGCAUGAAUGGAACAUACUUGGAACCGAAAUUGCUGAAGUGGCUGUUUUGUGCGGAUGCCGGUUGUCAGGUCAAUUCCGUGCAGAACAUUCUGCUCGGUACCUGGUAGUUGUUAAUUUCAAAGACCGACAAUAGGAGAGGUGAGGGGAAUUUUGUAGGAUGGCGGCAUUUCCGUUCGCCGAGUUUAAUGGAAGUGGAAGCAUGCAUGCUUUGUUGAUGUCUAUUUUGUCAAAGAAAUCUUAUCACCCAACAUCCUAUCGGGUUGGAGGAUAUCGGAACCAACUUAUCCGGGUGUUCUGUGUGUGGGCAUGCAUUGAGCUACACAGCAUCAAUCCGUGGUAUUCUGGAAUGUAUACUUUUGAAACCGGCCGAUUACUGGUUUUAAAACAACGACAUCGCGUGCUUUCCAUGGAAUUGAAAAAACCAAACAGCUCGACGAUUAAACCGUGUUUUACUUGGGCCAAUUCUGUAUUGUAUAAUGACAUACUGAUUUUUAUUUUCGCAAAUUUCAUUUUGAAUGCAUACCGUAUUGAGUUCUCUGCAGUAUGAGUUUGUCUCUUAACUACAAUUUUGUCUCAAUUAGUAAUGUCAACGUUAUUAACUUAAGAUUUCCGAGUGGGUCUAACGAGGGUAUUACCACUUUUGCAACUUUUUUAUGAACUGAUACCCCUUUAGUAUAAUUGUCUGUUUUUGCAGUUGUCCGCUAGUGCUAAUUCUUUUACUUUAAAGUGCAAAUCUUAAACCAAAUUGACCCAUUACUUUCCCUCAGUUUUCUAACACCGCGUUACCUUAAUCCUGAAAUAGAAAAUUUUAAUUGUUAAUAUUUUUUUACUAUUUUUUUAUAUUUCCUUAUUGGAUUCAUAUCAGUUACAAAGCAAAUUGGACGGUUUACUUAUAAACAUAGUGUUUUGCAUUUCCGAUUUCUUCCUGUUUUGCUAUUUUGUUUUGAAAUAAGAUUAAGCAGGUGGUGAAUGUGCCGGUUGCCAGGGAACGUCAACACCAAAGCUUUUGAUCUUAAUUAUUAAUUUUUUUUCUAUAACAAAGCCACCAAUCUGACAAACUGGUAGUUUACUAUAUAUAUUGCUCCAUUGCAUACUGAAUUAUCUGUGUGUGUAAACCACCGGUACUCAGUUUUCUUAAUUCUAAUUGCAACCGCAUUCGGACUUCAUUAAUUUGCAUAAAGCAGCGAUUAAGACUUACUUUAUCAUUCAUUGCUUUCCUUUUCUCUCAUAUUUUGAACGCAAGGAAAUCACAAGAUGGCAUUUGGGAGCAAAAUUUUAAACAUUGGAUCUAAGUCUGAUGAGUAUAACGACGAUGCAGUACCUCUCGACCAAGUCGAAGAGGGUGCGCAAGAGCGUCGCUAUUACUUGGGGUUGACAAAGCGCGAAUUUAAACUUAUGAUGCUUGCAGGUGUCGGGUUUUUCCUUGACAGUUACGAUCUUUUUAUCAUCAAUUUAGUUACUCCCAUUUUUGAAUAUCUUUAUUGGGGUGGUAUUGAAAAAGGUCCCACAGGAAAAGGCCAUUAUCCCUCUGGUAUUCGUGGUCUUGUAAAUGCGUCAGCCAAUAUUGGUAACAUUUUUGGACAACUGUUAUUUGGUUUUAUGGGUGAUUUCUUUGGCCGUAAAUUUGUCUACGGUAAAGAAAUGGUUAUUGUUAUCAUCGCUACUGUUCUGGUUAUCGCUAUGCCUAAAAGCAUUCAUUCUCCUCUUUCGAAAAUGAUGUGGGUUUUCUGUUGGCGUUGGUUGCUCGGUGUAGGUAUUGGUGGUGAUUAUCCAAUGUCUGCCGCUAUCACUUCUGAGCGUAGUAAAAUUAAACGACGUGGUACACUUAUUUCUUUAAUUUUUGCCUUCCAAGGUUUCGGAACUCUUGCUGGUGCCAUUGUUACCAUCAUCCUUUUGGGUUGUUUCGAACAUCCAUUGAAUCGGGAAGGUCAUUAUCAUAAACUCGAAGGUGUCUGGCGUCUUCAAUUUGGUCUUGCUUUGGUUCCUGCUAUUGGUGUUCUUAUUCCCCGUCUCAUCAUGAAAGAAUCUAAAUCAUACGAGAAUUCUAAAGCACUUAAUAGUGCUGAAGGAAAAGAUCCAAAGGCAUUCUUCAAUACCGAUGAUGAGGACAAUAUGAAGAAGUCAUCUAGCCAUGGUGACUCCGAGGUUGUCGAAGCUUCUGAUCGUUAUGCUAAUCAAGCAGAUGCUGCUGACGCUGAAGUUGAUAACAUUGAAAAACAAUUUGCCGCAGUUACAACCCCUGAAAACAGCAGUGGAUUUAUCACUUACUUCAGACAAUGGCGUCAUUUUAAGCAUCUUUUGGGUACAUCUGUUUGUUGGUUUCUGUUGGAUAUUGCCUUUUACGGUGUCAAUCUUAAUCAAUCUGUCAUUCUCAAGAAUAUUGGCUUCAGUACUGGUACGAACGAAUACCGCACAUUGAUGAAAAACGCAAUUGGCAACUUGAUUAUCGCUGUUGCCGGCUAUGUUCCUGGAUACUGGUUCAACGUCUUCCUUGUUGAAAUUCUUGGACGUAAAUGGAUUCAACUACAAGGCUUCGUGAUUACUGGUUUGAUGUUUGCAAUUUUGGCAGGACGUUGGAACGAAAUUUCCACUGGUGGUCGAUUUGCUUGUUUUGUUAUUGCCCAACUGUUUUCUAACUUUGGUCCCAACUCCACCACUUUUAUUUAUCCCGCUGAGGUUUUCCCUGCACGCGUACGUGGUACUGCUCAUGGUGUUUCAGCUGCUUUGGGUAAAUGUGGCGCUAUUCUUGCAUCACUUCUUUUUAACUUUUUGACCGGUGUUAUUGGAUAUGGUAACGUUAUGUGGAUUUUCUGCGGAUGCAUGUGGGGUGGCAUUCUUUUCACACUUUUGCUUCCUGAAACAAAGGGUCGUGAUGCUGAUGAAAUUGAUAGGUUGGAAUUAUUUUAUGGCAAGGACGGCAAAGUUCAAUGUGAUAGCAAGUGGAAGAGCUGGUAUUUUAAUGGAAUCUUUUAA